This 1393-nucleotide ribosomal RNA is filed under the name uncultured bacterium. Its description in RNAcentral is "bacterial SSU rRNA". It matches the Rfam family "Bacterial small subunit ribosomal RNA". The record is from RNAcentral.
GGAAUUCGCCCUUAGAGUUUGAUCCUGGCUCAGGAUGAACGUUGGCGGUGUGCCUAAUACAUGCAAGUCGAACGGUGACGAUUUUGUAGCAAUACGAAUGAAAUCAUAGUGGCGAACGGGUGAGUAACGCGUUGGUGAUCUGCCUCGAAGUGUGGAAUAACUUCCCGAAAGGGUAGCUAAUACCGCAUAGUCUCUCAAGGUUUAGAAAAUUGAGAGUAAAGGAUUUAUUCGCUUCGAGAGGAGCCUGCGUCCCAUCAGCUAGUUGGUAGGGUAAUAGCCUACCAAGGCAAUGACGGGUAGGGGACCUGAGAGGGUGGCCCCCCACAAUGGAACUGAAACACGGUCCAUACACCUACGGGUGGCAGCAGUAGGGAAUAUUAGAAAUGGGCGAAAGCCUGAUCUAGCAACACCGCGUGUGCGAUGAAGGCCUUCGGGUUGUAAAGCACUUUUUGGAGGGAAUAGGAAGGAAGGUACCUCCAGAAUAAGUCUCGGCUAACUACGUGCCAGCAGCCGCGGUAACACGUAGGAGGCAAACGUUAUCCGGAUUCACUGGGCGUAAAGCGCGUGUAGGUGGUUCUGUAAGUAGGGCGUGAAAGCUCCCGGCUCAACUGGGAGAGGCCGUACUAAACUGCAGAGCUAGAGGAUGGUAGAGGGAGGUGGAAUUCCAGGUGUAGUGGUGAAAUGCGCAGAUAUCUGGAGGAACACCAGUGGCGAAGGCGGCCUCCUGGACCAUUCCUGACACUCAGACGCGAAAGCUAGGGUAGCAAACAAAAGGAGAGACUCCGGUAGUCCUAGCCCUAAACGAUGCAGACUAGGCGUCGGCGGUUUAAUCACCGUCGGUGUCCAAGCUAACGCGAUAAGUCUGCCGCCUGAGGACUACGGCCGCAAGGCUAAAACUCAAAGGAAUUGACGGGGGCCCGCACAAGCAGCGGAGCAUGUGGUUUAAUUCGAAGCAACGCGAAGAACCUUACCUAGACUUGACAUCUCCUGCAUUACUCUUAAUCGAGGAAGUCUCUUCUGAGACAGGAUGACAGGUGGUGCAUGGUUGUCGUCAGCUCGUGUCGUGAGAUGUUGGGUUAAGUCCCGCAACGAGCGCAACCCCUAUUGUUAGUUGCCAUCAUUAAGUUGGGCACUCUAGCGAGACUGCCCGGGUUAACCGGGAGGAAGGUGGGGAGGACGUCAAAUCAUCAUGCCCCCUAUGUCUAGGGCUACACACGUGCUACAAUGGUCGGUACAAUAAGACGCAAGCCCGCGAGGGGGAGCAAAACUGGAAAACCGAUCUCAGUUCGGAUUGUAGGCUGAAACUCGCCUACAUGAAGCUGGAGUUGCUAGUAAUCGCGAAUCAGCAUGUCGCGGUGAAUAAGUUCCCGGGCCUUGCACACACCGCCCGUCA